GUGUUGUGUGAAAGGAGAGAAGGUUAGCACUCCCCUUGACAAGAACAGAAGAAGCCCAUGGGCCUGACAACAUGCAUAUGGUUAAAUUAGACUUUAUAGUUAUUAUAUUUU
Small nuclear RNA from Fukomys damarensis (Damara mole-rat), 111 nucleotides. The record is from Ensembl. Lineage: Eukaryota; Metazoa; Chordata; Mammalia; Rodentia; Bathyergidae.